This 344-nucleotide ribosomal RNA is filed under the name uncultured Vexilliferidae. RNAcentral's name for it is "partial Bacterial large subunit ribosomal RNA". It matches the Rfam family "Bacterial large subunit ribosomal RNA", at positions 416 to 763 of the family's 2925-position model. The record is from RNAcentral. Lineage: Eukaryota; Discosea; Flabellinia; Dactylopodida; Vexilliferidae.
GGCGGGACACGUGAAAUCCUGUUUGAAGAUCGGAGGACCACCUCCGAAGGCUAAGUACUCCUUACUGACCGAUAGCGAACCAGUACCGUGAGGGAAAGGUGAAAAGCACCCCGACGAGGGGAGUGAAACAGUACCUGAAACCGAACGCCUACAAUCAGUUGGAGGCCCCUUGAGGGCUGACAGCGUACCUUUUGUAUAAUGGGUCAGCGACUUAUAUUCAGUGGCGAGCUUAACCGUCUAGGGGAGGCGUAGGGAAACCGAGUCUUAAUAGGGCGUUUAGUUGCUGGUAAUAGACCCGAAACCCGGCGAUCUAUCCAUGAGCAGGUUGAAGGUUGAGUAACAUC